This 294-nucleotide long non-coding RNA is filed under the name Homo sapiens (human). Its description in RNAcentral is "HSALNT0261155". Lineage: Eukaryota; Metazoa; Chordata; Mammalia; Primates; Hominidae. The record is from RNAcentral.
CCGACAUCUGUCAGUCAGCGCCUCCCUCCUCACUCCAUUGACCACUCCGCCGCGCCACCCGGCUCUCCACGCGUCCGUCCGUCUGUCCAUCCUUCCAUCCGUCCCUGCGUCCAUCGGAUUCUGGGCCCGUGAUCCUGGGAGAGAUUUUCUCCGACUACACCCCCGCCCAGGUGGUGGUGAAGGAGCUCCGAGCCAGCGCGGGGCCCCUGGAGCAACGCAAGUUCAUCUCGGAAGCACAGCCGUACAGGAGCCUGCAGCACCCCAAUGUCCUCCAGUGCCUGGGUCUGUGCGUGG